RNAcentral lists this transfer RNA (73 nucleotides) under Zancudomyces culisetae. It matches the Rfam family "tRNA". Rfam says of the family: Transfer RNA (tRNA) molecules are approximately 80 nucleotides in length. Their secondary structure includes four short double-helical elements and three loops (D, anti-codon, and T loops). Further hydrogen bonds mediate the characteristic L-shaped molecular structure. tRNAs have two regions of fundamental functional importance: the anti-codon, which is responsible for specific mRNA codon recognition, and the 3' end, to which the tRNAs corresponding amino acid is attached (by aminoacyl-tRNA synthetases). tRNAs cope with the degeneracy of the genetic code in two manners: having more than one tRNA (with a specific anti-codon) for a particular amino acid; and 'wobble' base-pairing, i.e. permitting non-standard base-pairing at the 3rd anti-codon position. The record is from Rfam by way of RNAcentral. Lineage: Eukaryota; Fungi; Kickxellomycota; Harpellomycetes; Harpellales; Legeriomycetaceae.
GGGGGACUAGCUCAAAUGGUAGAGCGCUCGCUUAGCAUGCGAGAGGUACGGGGAUCAAUACCCCGGUUCUCCA